This 69-nucleotide transfer RNA is filed under the name Ictidomys tridecemlineatus (thirteen-lined ground squirrel). RNAcentral's name for it is "Spermophilus tridecemlineatus (thirteen-lined ground squirrel) tRNA". It matches the Rfam family "tRNA". From Rfam's summary of the family: Transfer RNA (tRNA) molecules are approximately 80 nucleotides in length. Their secondary structure includes four short double-helical elements and three loops (D, anti-codon, and T loops). Further hydrogen bonds mediate the characteristic L-shaped molecular structure. tRNAs have two regions of fundamental functional importance: the anti-codon, which is responsible for specific mRNA codon recognition, and the 3' end, to which the tRNAs corresponding amino acid is attached (by aminoacyl-tRNA synthetases). tRNAs cope with the degeneracy of the genetic code in two manners: having more than one tRNA (with a specific anti-codon) for a particular amino acid; and 'wobble' base-pairing, i.e. permitting non-standard base-pairing at the 3rd anti-codon position. The record is from Rfam by way of RNAcentral. Lineage: Eukaryota; Metazoa; Chordata; Mammalia; Rodentia; Sciuridae.
GGGGCUGGGGCUCAGUGGUAGAGCGCUUGUCUAGCAUGUAUGAGGCCCUCAGUUCAAUUCUCAGCACCA